Molecule: ribosomal RNA, 1348 nt
Filed under: Cassava witches'-broom phytoplasma
Lineage: Bacteria; Bacillati; Mycoplasmatota; Mollicutes; Acholeplasmatales; Acholeplasmataceae
Description: bacterial SSU rRNA
Rfam family: Bacterial small subunit ribosomal RNA
Source: RNAcentral
ACGGGUGAGUACACGUAAGCAACCUACCCUAAAGACGAGGAUAACCAUUGGAAACAGUGGCUAAGACUGGAUAGGAAGAUAAAAGGCAUCUUGUAUCUUUUAAAAGACCUAGUUAAUAGGUAUGCUUUAGGAGGGGCUUGCGCCAUAUUAGUUAGUUGGUAGGGUAAUGGCCUACCAAGACGAUGAUGUGUAGCUGGACUGAGAGGUUGAACAGCCACAUUGGGACUGAGACACGGCCCAAACUCCUACGGGAGGCAGCAGUAGGGAAUUUUCGGCAAUGGAGGAAACUCUGACCGAGCAACGCCGCGUGAAUGACGAAGUACUUCGGUAUGUAAAGUUCUUUUAUCGAGGAAGAAAAGCAAAUGGCGAACCAUUUGUUUGCCGGUACUUGAUGAAUAAGCCCCGGCUAAUUAUGUGCCAGCAGCCGCGGUAAGACAUAAGGGGCAAGUGUUAUCCGGAAUUAUUGGGCGUAAAGGGUGCGUAGGCGGAUCUAGUAAGUCAGUGGUGUAAUGUCAACGCUUAACGUUGUCCGGCUAUUGAAACUGCUAAACUUGAGUUAGAUAGAGGCGAGUGGAAUUCCAUGUGUAGCGGUAAAAUGCGUAAAUAUAUGGAGGAACACCAGAGGCGUAGGCGGCUCGCUGGGUCUUAACUGACGCUGAGGCACGAAAGCGUGGGGAGCAAACAGGAUUAGAUACCCUGGUAGUCCACGCCGUAAACGAUGAGUACUAAGUGUCGGGUUAAACCGGUACUGAAGUUAACACAUUAAGUACUCCGCCUGAGUAGUACGUACGCAAGUAUGAAACUUAAAGGAAUUGACGGGACUCCGCACAAGCGGUGGAUCAUGUUGUUUAAUUCGAAGAUACCCGAAAAACCUUACCAGGUCUUGACAUGUUUUUGCAAAAUGAUAGUAAUAUCGUGGAGGUUACCAGAAACACAGGUGGUGCAUGGUUGUCGUCAGCUCGUGUCGUGAGAUGUUAGGUUAAGUCCUAAAACGAGCGAAACCCUUAUCGUUAGUUGCCAGCACGUUAUGGUGGGGACUUUAACGAGACUGCCAAUGAUAAAUUGGAGGAAGGUGAGGAUCACGUCAAAUCAGCAUGCCCCUUAUGACCUGGGCUACAAACGUGAUACAAUGGCUGUUACAAAGGGUAGCUGAAACGCAAGUUCUUGGCCAAUCCCCAAAAACAGUCCCAGUCCGGAUUGAAGUCUGCAACUCGACUUCAUGAAGUUGGAAUCGCUAGUAAUCGCGAAUCAGCAUGUCGCGGUGAAUACGUUCUCGGGGUUUGUACACACCGCCCGUCAAACCACGAAAGUUGGCAAUACCCCAAAACGGUAGCCUAACUCGUAUCGA